AUGACUCGCUAUUCGAAUCUUCGAUGUGUCAUUGAAGAUAACGUAAAGGAAAAUAAUGAUAUUACUUUACUAUUAGUGUCGUCCAAAUACUCGUGCCAGAAGACUCGGUAAGGCGAGAGACGCAAACGUUAUUCGUCUUGAUCAGGCGUAAAGGGUGUGUAGGCUGCUUUAAGCAUAUCAUAUUAAGUUUUACCUUCAUAUUUUUAAAAAAGUUGACCAGUUUUUAUUUUACUAUAUUUAGUUUUUUCUAAAUUUAGAAGAAGUUAAAAGCUCUGUAAACUUUAGAUAAAAUUAUGUUGUUAAUAUAUAUCAAUUAAAGCUAGAAUCUAAAAGAGGUUAAAACAAUACUUAAGGUAGGAGUACUAACCGUAAAUAUUAAGUAGAGUGUUAAUGGCGAAGGCAUUUAUCCACUAAAGAUUGACGCUGAGAAACGAAAGUGAGGGCAGAAAAAAGGAUUAGAGACCCUUGUAUUCCUCACUGUCAACGAUGAAUGGUAGUUACUAGUUAGGAAUUAACUAGAGGCAAUGUUAACACGUAAACCAUUCCGCCUUGUGAGUACAACUGCAAAGUUGAAAACAAAAAAAUUAGUCGGUUUCGGAGCAAACGAAGUGAAGCAUGUUAUUUACUAA
Molecule: ribosomal RNA, 629 nt
Filed under: Hymenochaete quercicola
Lineage: Eukaryota; Fungi; Basidiomycota; Agaricomycetes; Hymenochaetales; Hymenochaetaceae
Description: partial small subunit ribosomal RNA
Rfam family: Bacterial small subunit ribosomal RNA
Source: RNAcentral